AUUAUAGAAGGUUAGGUAAGUAAACAGCUUUCUCGCUCCCUCUUGACAUAUCGGCUCCCUUAUUUGAAAACGUGUUGCUUCUUUACAAAAAAAAGUACCUAUUUCACAAAAAAAUUUUUGAAUUGUAGUAAAAACUAAACUUUUGGUGCAAAUUAUUUGGUCGGCAACACCGUUUUCACUUUGACGCUUUGCUUUGUUAUUAUUCGUUGAAAAUCUUUUAUCUGUUUGUAAACAUUCAAGUCGAUUAUGUCUUACAUAUGGUGAUAGUCGAUUAUUUGGAGUCGGCUUUCUGCUGCAGAAAACCACCGGUUUGUGAAUUUUCAUACAUGUUUUUAUAGCAGCGUUUUUGCAAAUAUAACAGAUACCACCUUACAUACAAUACAUAAACUACAGUUAUUUUUAUUUGUAGGACUUCACAGACGAGCAAUUGCUGCGGAAGGUGUGUGUUGAAGAGCUAGGUGGCCCAACUAUUGUGGUUUUUAGAAACGAAAGCACGUAUGCGCGUAUUUCUACCAUUGUCUCAUGUGGUGCUACGGACAAUUUCAUAGGAGACAUGGAGCGUGUUGUGUAUGAUGGUGCAAAUACCUGUUUAACAUAUGACGGUCAUUAUGUGCCUAGUACUGCUACCUCUGAAAUCAAUUUGACUUCCGAACUGGCUGUCCACGUCGAUACCUUACCCCGUCUAGAACAAUAUGCUGUACGUAGAUGUAUGCGCAACACCUACACGAGCAAGUCCUCGCGCUUUAAGUCUACAAUUACAGAUAAGUUGUAAUGAUAUAUUUGUGAGUUAUUUUUAAGUUUUUGGUUUACAGGUUUUUGAUUUCUGCCUGAAGUAAGUGCAGCGUUCCAACACCUAUACGAGCAAGUGCACCCACAUUCCUCAUAUUUCCACUCCGAUUCAUUACUGAGACACGUGGUAUUGAUAUACGUAAAUUUACAAACCAUCACAAUUACUAAAAGUGGAUUAUAUUACCAAUAUGUAAAAUUUUUCGAUGUAUUAGUUUUAGUCUAUAUUAAUACAUUUUCCUAUUAAUAUUAGGGACGCAAAGUAUAUUAAGAAAUGAUCGACUGAACUUCUGCUUUCGCAAUGUCUUUACGGUAACAUACUACAUGUAUCUACAUGUAUUGUUAUGCAUAUUGUUAUAUAUAUAUAUAUUAUAUAUAAUUGGCGCGUACACCCUUUUUGGGUGUUUGGCCGAGCUCUUCCUCCUAUUUGUGGCGUGCGUCUUGAUGUUAUUCCACAAAUGGAGGGACCUACAGUUUCAAGCCGACUCCGAACGGCAGAAAAAAAAAACACAUACAUAAGUAACAUCACAUAGUUCUGCGUGCUCUUGUGUUAGAUAAACAUCGAAAAUAUUCUAAAUAAAUAUUACAUUUGUUUAAAGAAAAAACUAUAA
Long non-coding RNA from Anastrepha ludens (Mexican fruit fly), 1397 nucleotides. RefSeq lists it as uncharacterized. The transcript is spliced from 5 exons. The record is from RefSeq and is a predicted model, not a curated record. Lineage: Eukaryota; Metazoa; Arthropoda; Insecta; Diptera; Tephritidae.